This 117-nucleotide ribosomal RNA is filed under the name Sinocyclocheilus rhinocerous. Lineage: Eukaryota; Metazoa; Chordata; Actinopteri; Cypriniformes; Cyprinidae. The record is from RNAcentral.
GUUGGCAGCCAUAUCACCCUGUAGCCCAAGACUGGUUGCCCACUGAAGCUAAGCAGGGCUGAGCCUGGUCAUUAUCUGGAUGAGAGACCUCCUGGGAAAACUAGGUCACUGCUGGAA